AGCGUACACGGUGGAUGCCUUGGCAGUCAGAGGCGAUGAAAGACGUAGUAACUUGCGAUAAGCCCAGAUUAGGUAGUAACAACCAUUUGAGUCUGGGAUUUCUGAAUGGGGAAACCCACGUGCAUAAGCACGUAUCCUUACCUGAAUACAUAGGGUAAGGAGGCGAACCGGGGGAACUGAAACAUCUAAGUACCCCGAGGAAAAGAAAUCAACCGAGAUUCCGAAAGUAGCGGCGAGCGAAAUUGGACUAGCCCUUAAGCUUUACACGCGUUAGACGAACGGUCUGGAAAGUCCGACGAUACAGGGUGAUAGUCCCGUAGUUGACGACGUGUGUUCAGUGAAAUCGAGUAGGGCGGGACACGUGAUAUCCUGUCUGAAUAUGGGGGGACCAUCCUCCAAGGCUAAAUACUACUGACUGACCGAUAGUGAACCAGUACCGUGAGGGAAAGGCGAAAAGAACCCCUGUGAGGGGAGUGAAAUAGAACCUGAAACCGUGUACGUACAAGCAGUAGGAGCACCUUCGUGGUGUGACUGCGUACCUUUUGUAUAAUGGGUCAGCGACUUAUAUUCAGUGGCAAGGUUAACCAUCUAGGGGAGCCGUAGGGAAACCGAGUCUUAACUGGGCGUUCAGUCUCUGGAUAUAGACCCGAAACCAGGUGAUCUAGCCAUGGGCAGGUUGAAGGUUGAGUAACAUCAACUGGAGGACCGAACCGACUAAUGUUGAAAAAUUAGCGGAUGACUUGUGGCUAGGGGUGAAAGGCCAAUCAAACCUGGAGAUAGCUGGUUCUCCCCGAAAGCUAUUUAGGUAGCGCCUCGGACGAAUACUACUGGGGGUAGAGCACUGUUAAGGCUAGGGGGUCAUCCCGACUUACCAACCCUUUGCAAACUCCGAAUACCAGUAAGUACUAUCCGGGAGACACACGGCGGGUGCUAACGUCCGUCGUGGAGAGGGAAACAACCCAGACCGCCAGCUAAGGUCCCAAAUUACUACUAAGUGGGAAACGAUGUGGGAAGGCUCAGACAGCCAGGAUGUUGGCUUAGAAGCAGCCAUCAUUUAAAGAAAGCGUAAUAGCUCACUGGUCGAGUCGGCCUGCGCGGAAGAUGUAACGGGGCUAAGUAGUAAACCGAAGCUGCGGCAAUAUACUUUUGUAUAUUGGGUAGGGGAGCGUUCUGUAAGCGGUUGAAGGUGUGUGGUAACGCAUGCUGGACGUAUCAGAAGUGCGAAUGCUGACAUGAGUAACGAUAAAGGGGGUGAAAAACCUCCUCGCCGGAAGACCAAGGGUUCCUGUCCAACGUUAAUCGGGGCAGGGUAAGUCGACCCCUAAGGCGAGGCCGAAAGGCGUAGUCGAUGGGAAACGGGUUAAUAUUCCCGUACUUCUUACAAUUGCGAUGGGGGGACGGAGAAGGCUAGGUGGGCCUGGCGACGGUUGUCCAGGUUCAAGUGCGUAGGCUUGAGAGUUAGGUAAAUCCGGCUCUUUCUAAGGCUGAGACACGACGUCGAGCACCUACGGGUGUGAAGUCAUUGAUGCCAUGCUUCCAGGAAAAGCCUCUAAGCUUCAGAUUGUAAGGAAUCGUACCCCAAACCGACACAGGUGGUCGGGUAGAGAAUACCAAGGCGCUUGAGAGAACUCGGGUGAAGGAACUAGGCAAAAUGGUACCGUAACUUCGGGAGAAGGUACGCUCUCGACGGUGAAGUCCCUCGCGGAUGGAGCUAUUGAGAGUCGCAGAUACCAGGUGGCUGCAACUGUUUAUUAAAAACACAGCACUGUGCAAAAUCGUAAGAUGACGUAUACGGUGUGACGCCUGCCCGGUGCCGGAAGGUUAAUUGAUGGGGUUAGACUUCGGUCGAAGCUCUUGAUCGAAGCCCCGGUAAACGGCGGCCGUAACUAUAACGGUCCUAAGGUAGCGAAAUUCCUUGUCGGGUAAGUUCCGACCUGCACGAAUGGCGUAAUGAUGGCCACGCUGUCUCCACCCGAGACUCAGUGAAAUUGAAAUCGCUGUGAAGAUGCAGUGUACCCGCGGCUAGACGGAAAGACCCCGUGAACCUUUACUACAGCUUGGCACUGAACAUUGACCCUACAUGUGUAGGAUAGGUGGGAGGCUUUGAAGCACGUACGCCAGUAUGUGUGGAGCCGUCCUUGAAAUACCACCCUUGUAGUGUUGAUGUUCUAACGUCGACCCCUAAUCGGGGUUGCGGACAGUGCCUGGUGGGUAGUUUGACUGGGGCGGUCUCCUCCCAAAGAGUAACGGAGGAGCACGAAGGUGGGCUAAUCACGGUUGGACAUCGUGAGGUUAGUGCAAUGGCAUAAGCCCGCUUGACUGCGAGAAUGACAAUUCGAGCAGGUGCGAAAGCAGGUCAUAGUGAUCCGGUGGUUCUGAAUGGAAGGGCCAUCGCUCAACGGAUAAAAGGUACUCCGGGGAUAACAGGCUGAUACCGCCCAAGAGUUCAUAUCGACGGCGGUGUUUGGCACCUCGAUGUCGGCUCAUCACAUCCUGGGGCUGAAGUCGGUCCCAAGGGUAUGGCUGUUCGCCAUUUAAAGUGGUACGCGAGCUGGGUUUAGAACGUCGUGAGACAGUUCGGUCCCUAUCUGCCGUGGGCGUUGGAAGAUUGAAGGGGGCUGCUCCUAGUACGAGAGGACCGGAGUGGACGAACCUCUGGUGUUCGGGUUGUGUCGCCAGACGCAUUGCCCGGUAGCUAAGUUCGGAAUCGAUAACCGCUGAAAGCAUCUAAGCGGGAAGCGAGCCCUGAGAUGAGUCUUCCCUGAUACUUUAAGUAUCCUAAAGGGUUGU
This 2790-nucleotide ribosomal RNA is filed under the name Vibrio parahaemolyticus. RNAcentral describes it as "bacterial LSU rRNA". It matches the Rfam family "Bacterial large subunit ribosomal RNA". The record is from RNAcentral. Lineage: Bacteria; Pseudomonadati; Pseudomonadota; Gammaproteobacteria; Vibrionales; Vibrionaceae.